GAUGAACGCUGGCGGCGUGCUUAACACAUGCCAGUCGAACGAUGAAGCUCAGCUUGCUGGGUGGAUUAGUGGCGAACGGGUGAGUAACACGUGAGUAACCUGCCCUUAACUCUGGGAUAAGCCUGGGAAACUAGGUCUAAUACCGGAUAGGAGCGCCUACCGCAUGGUGGGUGUUGGAAAGAUUUAUCGGUUUUGGAUGGACUCGCGGCCUAUCAGCUUGUUGGUGAGGUAAUGGCUCACCAAGGCGACGACGGGUAGCCGGCCUGAGAGGGUGACCGGCCACACUGGGACUGAGACACGGCCCAGACUCCUACGGGAGGCAGCAGUGGGGAAUAUUGCACAAUGGGCGAAAGCCUGAUGCAGCGACGCCGCGUGAGGGAUGACGGCCUUCGGGUUGUAAACCUCUUUCAGUAGGGAAGAAGCGAAAGUGACGGUACCUGCAGAAGAAGCACCGGCUAACUAUGUG
Molecule: ribosomal RNA, 466 nt
Filed under: uncultured bacterium
Lineage: Bacteria
Description: partial 16S ribosomal RNA
Rfam family: Bacterial small subunit ribosomal RNA
Source: RNAcentral